This 481-nucleotide long non-coding RNA is filed under the name Cyanistes caeruleus (blue tit). Its description in RNAcentral is "lncRNA (ENSCCEG00000021428.1)". The record is from RNAcentral. Lineage: Eukaryota; Metazoa; Chordata; Aves; Passeriformes; Paridae.
UUUGCCGGAAAUACAGGGCGCGGCCAUAUUUAACCAGAAAUACUUAGCGGCCACCAUAUUUAAUCGGAAAAUCAAAGAUACAGUUCCAGGCUCGAGUUCCAGGUUGCAGUUCCAGGCUCAAGUUCCAGAAGCUUAUGUUAGAUCUGGAAGAAAAUAAUUGAGUUGUCUGACAGCAACAAGAGAUGUUAGAGACACAAGUGAAUUCCUCAGGAGAGAAAGAAAUAUCAAGGUCUCAGCACAGAGCAAACCGAUAUUUGAGAGGAGAAAAUGAAUUAUCUGGAGCCAAAUGUAAUUUUAUUUUGGUAGGCCAACAAUCAAUAGAAGAAACGCACAGUCAUUUCAGUAAUUGCCACAGCUUCAUGACAAAUGCUUCCUAGAAACUCCUGGCUAGGUGAUCUCGGCAUCCAGGGUUACUGAGGUGUAUCUUUAAUGCAAGUUAGCUCAGAUGUUCAGAGACACAUGCAAAUUAUGCAAGCAUGUG